Maylandia zebra (zebra mbuna) is the source of this 333-nucleotide RNA transcript. RefSeq lists it as uncharacterized. The record is from RefSeq and is a predicted model, not a curated record. NCBI's taxonomy places the organism in Eukaryota, Metazoa, Chordata, Actinopteri, Cichliformes, Cichlidae.
CACUCUGGCUGGAAUCCGGUGGAUAUGCAGUGUGUACAGAACAGUUCUCCACAGUCGCUGUCCACAUGGGUCAGUGGGACCAAGAAGCACUCUGCUAAUGUGUGGACUCUGACCAGCAACAUCCAGCAAGACCCAGACAGCGUUUUCUAUCUCCCAGCUGGAGUUUUUGUUUGUCAGUGACUGGAGAGUCAGAUUUUUGUUGAGCUUCACACUUGCAGAGGUUAAUACACUCUACUGAUCCCUGAUGGGAGAAUCAUCAAUUUUGGCAACAAAGAAGCCUGGUGGAUGUUUGUUUACAGUCUGAUGAUGGGACAUCAUGCUCUGCAUCUUCAA